RNAcentral lists this unclassified non-coding RNA (300 nucleotides) under Hevea brasiliensis (rubber tree). Lineage: Eukaryota; Viridiplantae; Streptophyta; Magnoliopsida; Malpighiales; Euphorbiaceae. The record is from RNAcentral.
GCUUGUCUUCCUGCUUCCUUACAUUUCCACACUAUUUAGCAGGCGGCCAUCCCCGUCAGACUUCAAAAAUUAUUGUGAUUCGAUUUCCUUUUCAUUUAACUUGAAAUUAUUAUUAUUGUUUUUUUUAUAAAUUGCCUUAGAGCUAUUCGCUUUGCCGCCUCAAUAUUGUAUUCUGUGCAUUCUUUCUUCUUUUAACUGUUGUUUUCAUUUUUUUUUUGUAUGGUCCAUACUGCUUGCGGUCGUUGGUUUUCUCGUUGGGGUUUUCGCUGGGCAUGCAAUUCGGCUUUUGAUGGGCACACA